Molecule: long non-coding RNA, 32759 nt
Filed under: Gallus gallus (chicken)
Lineage: Eukaryota; Metazoa; Chordata; Aves; Galliformes; Phasianidae
Source: RNAcentral
UUUUUUUUUUAAGUAUGCCAUUGAUAGUUACAACAGAAAUGUGGAAAGUAGCCAAGGUGUCUAAAUUUUCUUUUUGCCCCAAGGUGGGUGGAACUUCCCAAGACUGCUGUCCUGCCUGCACUUGCAAUGAUAUACCUUCUUUAUUUUUGCCCUUCUGAUAAAUGUUUUAUAUUUAGAAACCAGAAUUAUGAAUAUGCUGAUUACCCCUCAUCUAAGGCUGAUGAAUAUAUUCAGUACAACUUCCAGUAAGAUGGCAUUUUAUUCUUCAACUUUGUUAGACAGAUUUUUAGGUUGCUUUACUCAGUGAAGUCUUUGACAUUCUACCACCACCUUGUAAGCCAAGCCAUACACACAGAAUAGGUCAAAGGAUGAUUUCAUUGAAAACACUUAUUUAGAAUUAGGUCACAAUAAUUUCAGCAACAUCAAGCCAUCACUUUUGUUAGGCCGUUUAAUCCUGUAUGAGUUAUUGUUUAGUUAAAGGUUAUUAAUUACCACAUGCCAUUCAGUUAGUGGCAACGUGCCAAGAAAGCACUCAGAGACCUCCCCAUUCACCCAUCUGUCUGUUGCAUUCAGCUAGAGUCAACCAGAACAUUUGGCUGUAUGGUUGAAAACUUUAAAGAAUUUGUCUACCAAGCUUUUACAUUUUUCCAAUUAUCCUAUUAGUAAAAUACAGAUCUUUAACAUCAUUCUUAUUGUCUGGACAUACGAAGAGAGAAAUGAAGAAAAAAAGUGGUUGGGAAUUGUAUUGUUGUGUCAUCCCAUCUACCAGCAAUUCCUAAAAUAUUAUUAGAGAUUAGUAAUAAACUCCAGUCACAACUAUCCACACUUUUGGCAAUGUUUUCCAAAGUCACUGAUCUCUUUUGAAAGUUAUUUCAUUUUUCUUGCUUAUUCUGUUAUAAUCUCUUGUGUCCAUCACUCUUUCCUUUUCUUUUUCCCCAAAAUAUGUCUUUGCAAGACAUUACCACACAGUGCAAUAUAUUUUUCUCUGCUAACAAGUUAUCAAGGCCCAUUGGAAAUUAUAUUGUUAUAGCAUAUACAGUGCAAUAACCUAUUCAAAAAUACAAAGAGAAAAUCAAAGGAGAGCAAAUUUAUUUUCACUACACUUAUGCCAUUUGACACUUGUAAUUUUUUUAUGUGAUGAACUAGUGGUUUCAUAAGAAGAGCAGUCAGUGUGUAAUUCAUUUGUGGAUGCUGCUGUCUAGGAUUACGAAGGGAAAGCAGGAUGCUUCACCAAGUAACUCCACGGCUGAAGUGAUAAUGUCCUUCAGCCAGCUCUUGCACAGCACUGGGAGCCCAGUGAAAAGCAUUCACUGACUAAAUGAGCACAUAUUCCCCAAAGAAGCAAUUGUGGGAAUUUGACUUCAGGCUUGACAGACAGCACCGCUUCAAAUGUGACUUCAUUUUAUUUUUAAUCUCACUGUCCAACAAGAGGCCUGUAGAGCACUAUGCAGAGAUGGAUGGAUACUUGUGCAGAGGGGUUUCUGUAGCCCUUCUGUAGAAGAAUAAUUCCAGAUCUGAAACAAUAACAUUAGGAAAAGCCAUUAAAAAAAAAAAAAAAAAAAAAAAAAGCAAUAGAGUCUUUCAUGGUAUUGUGGGGAAAGUCAGCCAUUUUGGAAAAAGUCAGGCUCUUUCCUUAGUGUGAGAUAUAAGUGAGAUAUAAUGUUUUUCCCCUGAGGUGAUUGUGCUCACUAUAACCAAAGAGCUUUCUGAUGAAUUGUGUAGGUGCAAAUACAGUUUUUCUGGGGAUUUUAUCAUUUAGAAACAUUAUUACCAGAAAAUGUUGUAAGAUCUUAAGCAGAAGCUUUUAAAGCAAGAUGCUGUAGCACUAUGUAUUAUUAAAUAACUAUAGCAUGCAGAGAGAGACAUGUUAUGAGUGGUUACUUAGAAUUGUCCUUAAAGCUGUUCAAAUAAUUUUGGCGCAUAUUAAUAUCUUGUCUUUUUGAUGCAUACUUUGUUUUUAUUUCAGAUAUGAGCGUGUAUUUGUAAAUCAUGAGGAAUAUAUGUGAAAUGUAAGAUUGCAGCAAACAGAGGGAUUAAGCAACUUUUUAUAAUGCUUUGUACUUAAAUUAAGACUUUAAUUCUCUAUUUGCCGUGCAUCAAUAGUGCUUUAAGCCACUUUUCCUACUAAAAUUUUUAUUUUCACUACUUCAAUAUGCCAAAUGAGCAAUCAUGACAGAGUAACGGGUGGAGGAGGAGGGGGCAAGCAGAAUGAAGACUGGCACGUGGCUGUUGGCUUUGAUGCAGAGUGUAUGACGAUAAGUUUGUUCCAGGGUAGGAACCACUCUUCAAACUCUGAUAUUCUUGUGGCGCUAAGUUUUGCUGCACUACUAUUAGCAGAUUCUGGUGUGAUGCAGCAGACUGUGGACACUGCAGUAGUGCUGGUCACCGUUCUCUACCUGGGUAAAUUUGAAACUAUUCUGUACAAGUUCAACUUACUAUAACAGGAAUUUCAUUAUUUUCACAAGGAAUUACAGGACAGAGAUGAGAAAUUCUCAAUUAAGGAAUAGUCCUGCCUGUGUUUUCACUGUAGAUGCACGUACUAAAAGAGCCCCACGCCCCUGGGAAGGAACUGAACCUGAUGCUUGGGAUAUAUAACAACUUUCUGUGAGUUACUGACACUCAGGAUAUCAUUAAAUGUAACUGCAGACACCUUUGUUAUCUCACUCUUCUAAUGGAAUGGUUUUAGACUAGAGGAACGUAUUUUAUGACACCUUCCUGCCUCAUGAUACUCCCACACAGAAAACGCUACUGUUUCCUUUCAUCUUAUCUCUUCAUUCCUUGCUCUCUGUGGUUGUAAGGAAACUUUACAUUCAGCUUGGUGCACAUAUACCUGGCAGCACAGGAUAAGCUUGUGAGGAUACCAAAAGCUGCUGGAUACUGGAGAGGUACUUAAUAUUCUCCCUGUGGAGGGACAAGAAGAGCUAUGACACACACAUUUUUGCAGACAAGUGGAAGGAAUAGGGGAGGAGGUGCUGUCAAUCAACUGCCUUGAUUCCAGCAAUGAAAGGAAGAUAUAAAAUGGUUACUGAUGAGAAAUUUUUAAGAACACUUACUCUCUUCUACUUUCUGUAUCUACAACAAACACGUUUUCCUUCCAUGAAGUUAGAGACAUUGUUGUGACAUAGGUGCAUGCUGUGCUGCUAAGGUUCGCAUUUCUAGGUACUAGGUAGUUUUUUUGUGUCAUUGGACUAGCACGGCUCUAAGUCAAGAACUCCUUCCAAAGUGGUGUGGAGAUGCCUCAGCUCUGCAGACAUCUCGGUAGAAAAUGUACACAAAAGUGAAGCCUUGAACAACAGUUGUAUUUGCUGUUCAUGGCUUUCUUGGCUUUCCUCUCCAGCUCUUUCUGUUUGCCAAACAGGCUUUUCUCUGCAGAUUCACUGUGGGCUGCCGCCUUUCUCCGUUUGUUUCCCCUUCAAACUCUGAAGAGCAAUAGCUCUUCCUGCUUUUUCUGGACCCAUGUUUUCUGACUCAGUUAACUCUUUCUCCAUCUUUCACUGUCUACCUCUAGCUCUGCUGCAUUGAAAGGCAAAACCCAAAAUGCUUGAAGGGGUAAACUUAGAUCAUAUCUAUUCCAUCUGUGAUUAGCUAGCAUAAGAAUUAUGCUAUUUAAUGUCUGAGAAGCAUUACUGUGCAUUAUCAAAUGGUGCCUUUGUUUUCACCCCCAGAUGGAUGUAUAUUGUGUUAGAAAAAAUGAUCCUUGAAUAGUAAUUCUUUGUAUCGUAGGAGGGUUCAGAUGUAUAUGUGAUCCUGUUUGUGGAGAAAAGCAAACUGAGGGACAUGGUUUAGUGAGAACUAUUGGUGAUGGGUGGAUGGUUGGACUGGGUGAUCCUGUGGGUCUUUUCCAACCUUGGUGAUUCUAUGAUUCUAAGCUAUGGAGAGAGACUUUACUGUGGACUUUACUGAUGAGCAAGUACUGGUUUCUUAUUUUUCUGCUUGCAGUAUAGAAAAUUUAUUAAUGGUUCAAUCACAGUGAUAUUUGCAGUAUUAUUAACAGGAAGAUGAAAUAGAAAACGAUCUUUGCUUGACCAAAUACACAAAUUCCAUGCUUGUGUGUCUCUUCCACUGUUAUCUAUUGGGAAAUUCAACAGAUAUUUUGUUAUCAGGAUCAUGAAAUACUACAGAGCCUGCCCACCACAUCAAACUUGUGUGUUAUCAUAGUAAUGAGUAAGUGCUUAUUCUCACUGUCUAGUUUGUUGUUAAAAGGAUCAUUUUAUUUUCUCGUAAUCAUUAUAAGUGGAAACAAUGAGUCUUUGAAUCUGAACUGUUAAGUUUUCAUGGAUAUUUUAUAAGUCUAAUUUAAGCAACCAUCUCUUUUUGGAGUGUAGGGAUUCCUUAAUUAAAUAGUUAGGCUUGAGCUUAUGUUUUAUAUUUACUGUCAGAAACAGUAGCAAGCACUAUUAUAAGCAUGUAGAACUACUGAAGCUUAGUACUGGAAUGAGAUAAACGCACAAAAUUAAUUUUCUAUUGUAACUUAUCUUCCAUAUACUUCAGUGAGUUAAUCUGUGCCUGCAUACAGAUGAGUAGGUCAACUGAAGAGCAAUUUAUACCUUCUUCAAAGCAAUCAGAUCUUGUUGGAAGAGCUGACAGACAGCAGCUAUCAACCAUUCUACCCUUUAGAUGGGCAAUAAGACAAUGUUUGUUAAUGAGCUUACUAUAUUUGUUCUUUAUUGGUUGUUGCCGUCAGUCUGGAAGCAUAAAUACAGAUAACACAUGAUGCCAGACAUCAUUUAAGCAAGCAACCAAUAGCACUUAAAGUAGAGCGGAAGGAUUUAUUCACUCCCAGUUUGGUAUUUGACUUGAAAUCCCUUUGUGAAAUAUGUCUGUAUUCUCUCUGUGUGUGUGUAUAGAUAUAUGUGUACGUGUAUAUGUGUAUAUAUAUAUAUAUUAUUUUGUCUGUUGAAGAGGGACUGUGUUUCUAUAACGUAAUGAACUCACAGCACUGCUUAAAUAAUGUUCUGGCAGCAUUAUCUUUGGAGUAGAAAAACCUAGGGCGCAGUGUUGUGAUGGGUAUGGAUUUCACAGUUACGAGGAUUCUGAAGGCAAGAGCUUUCAUUUUUAUUCAGCUCUUAUACUUGGCGGCUUUUAAGCGUUAUGCCUAUUAACUUUUAUAGAUGUCAUACAUUUUUAUGUUAAUGGUGGUGCUUUGAGUAUAGUGAGAAUCUCAACUUCUGCUCAUCAAACUGGCGUACAAGCAAAAUUAUGAUGAUGAUGCUUCUUCAAAAUGGUUAAAAAGCUGUUUUUAUUGUUUAACGUCAAUUCAUUGCUUGUGAUUAUUGAUGUUAAAAAAGGAUUUGGGGAGUGGAAGUAGAGGACUUCACAGUUGCUUAGUAGAAGAAUUUCUACUGAAUUUUAUUUUUGUAGGUGUGGGCACUGGAUUUUUGAUUUUUCUGAGUCUUGUGUGAAUUUUCACAGUGAGGUAGAGGGAAACCACUUGUGUUUCAGUUGAGUUUGUUUUAAUCACUGGGUAAAUUAGUAUGUUUAUCUUUCCAAAGUCUCACACCGAAAGAGUAUAAAACCAAAUAUAAUUGUUUUAUUUCAUUCAUUAUAGCUGAAAGCAAGUGUGAUUCUUGCAAGGGAAAUACUACUCAUAGUGUAGGCUGAUAUAUGUCAGAAAUAAUUGACUGCCAAUCUGUACUAGAACUCUUCCAACAGCAUGAAGUAGCCAGUGAACCAUAUGAGGAAAGAAAAAUGAGUCCACCUCUGUUCUGCUGGAAGAGGACCUGGCACGAAGGAUAACACACUAGUAGAACUAGAAGGAUAAACUAGUAGAACAACACUAGUAGAAGGUUGCUUUUCAUAAGACAUUUGUGCUUCUUUAUUUGACUACAUUUACAGAAGUUUCUUCCACUGACCUACAAUAUUUCCCCUCUUAGCAGCUCUGUUUCUCCCAUUGUUGUUCUGUUAUACAAAGACUGGAUACCACGCUUUGUUUUUGAAUGAGUUUAUUGUUUGCUGGAUUUUUAUUUUCUUCUGAGAAAGAGAGGAGACACUUAUAAUUUUUUUGAUAUGGUUUCUUAACCCACAGCAAAAGAUGGUAAGGAAAAUAAAAAUAUCAGCAUUUUGUUCCUUUAUUCUGUGUGUUUAUUCCAUAUCUAGUAUAAUUACUAGAAUAAUGUCCUUAUUUGCAAACAGAUGUCUAUCAGAUUCGAGAAAGUACAGAGUAAAGUGCAGUUCAUUGCAAAAUUUGGCCAUAAAAAUAUUGUUGUAGUAUUUUAUUCCAGUUUAAUGUUUUGCAAAUAAAAAGUUGCACACAUUCAAGAAGACAAUAUUCACAUCAAAUUAAUUAUGGACCACUUCCUGUAUGGCUUUUUCAAUUUAACUCUGCAUAGAAGAAACAUAUGAAGUCCACAUCUGUCCUGUGCAUGACCUUGGCCAAAUUACUUAGACUCAAUUUCCUUGAAAUAUGGAAAGUAAAACAAUGUCAGUAGAAAUUGUUCAUUAGGUUUAAAAAUUAGUUGCCAAUUGUUGAUUGCAGUGAUGUUAGUCACCUGAAACUUAUUUUCUGGAAACAGUUACCUAACUUGUUAGUAGUCCUUAACACUGUGGUUUCAUUUUUUUUUAAAUAUGGCUGUGAAUCUGAACUAAAUUCAAAUUAAUCUUGAGAGGAAAUUCACCAGUAUUUAUAAUGUUUGCUUCUUCAUAAAUUAGGUAUAUUCUUUCCUUCUUGGGAGAAAUGCCAUAGACCUGGUGUGAAAAUUUUUAUUUUUUAUUUUUAAAAUUGUUUUCCUAUUUUCCACACAUGAAUGCAACAGUUGCUAUUUUUCCAUUUCCUUUUUCCGUUCACCUGCUUGGAUAUAUUUUAAUUUUCAAAUUGUAAUUUGCUGGCACUCCAUAUGUAAGAUGGGAAUAUUUUCCAUUAUUCAAAUUCUAAUAAAAUAUAGGAUAAGCAGCCAAACAGACUGCAUCCCAGUUAGAGAUAUCCUAUUUCAAGGUAAGUAACUUGGUUUAUUUGAGUUGUAUGCAAGUUUGGAAGUGCAGAUUUGUAUAGAUGAACUGCAUAACCCAAACACCAACCAAAAAAUCCACCUUAUAAAUACCAUUGAAGGUACGUAACUUUUCCUCUGUGAUUGAAGAAAAAAUAUGCCUGUAACUUAUUUAGCUAUUUAUACCCAUUUAACAUAAAUAUGUGGCUGUAAUUGUCCACUGAUUUGCACAUCUGUCUACACAAAAUUAAGAUGGUGAACAUUGUACUUAUUUACAUGAGAUUACUGAGAUAUACGAGGUAGUAAAUAAACAAAUAAAUCAAUGCUUCUCUAAAAAGUUUCAAAAUUAACCUUCAAGCUGUUAUUUGCAAAAUCUGAAUGGAAAGCAUUAGAAGAUUAAAAUAAUAGUAAUUUUCAAUCAACCUAGCAAAAGUUGUGAAGGACUUUACUCAGGUACUAAACAAGAGAAAAUCAACCCACCUCAGCCAAGACUGAAACAUCAAGAUAAGCAGCAGAGCUAGUGGAAAUUUUCAGGUUUAUCUGCCAAGUAGGAUUUAAUUUUUAUCUGAUGUCAUUUCUGUCUGCGACUUCCAAAAGGAGAACAAUGAUAUUGUUAUGAAUGUUGAUGGGUCAUGAAAAAGACAGCAUGAGCACUGCUCAGCCCAAUGACUAUGCCAAAAUAAUGCAAUAAAUUCAUUUUGCCUUUGGUAAUACAUUUAAUAAAAUUAUUAAGUGCAGUUAGAGCAAAAGAAAAACAGAGAUGAAAUAUAAAAAUGACAACAGGAAUGAAAACAAUGUUUAACAGACGUAGAAAUGAUCCUUUCCCAUAGGUAUGAGAGUGUUUCCCCAUACCUAUGUUUCCCCCAUGUUUUCCAUAAAGAUUCUCCUUUUAAUUUUUGGCAGUGUAUCCAAUCUGUAUGGUGUGAAUUAGUCAGUGAGUUUCUCUUAGUUCUAAACCAGAGCCAUGUAAUUUAUUCCUGGAAUUAGUGCAGAAAUACCACCCUCAGUUAGUACUAAUCUCUCUCCUUUGGGUUUUAAUGCAAAAAAACGUGAAAAUUUCAAGACAGUACUUUUAAAUUCAUUUUUUUCUUUUACAUCAUCUUCACAGCUCAUUAUUAUUGUUUCUUUCAUGGUGAUUCUCCCUAAGAAAUAUAAAUUACAAAGGAAGUUGCUUUAUUAUUAUAAACAGAAACAUCAGCAGAUUGUAACAACAUUAAGUAAAAUGUGUAAAACGUUUGCAUCGUGAUUCGCGUAAUUUGUUACACUGUAGAAUAUUUGUGAUAUAGCAAGUCAGCAUUAGAUAUUUGUUGAGCGUAGUGAUAAAGGCUCGGAUCCUGUAAGGUAUUUAAGUUCCAAAUUUCUCCUAGUGUUUUUUUAAUAAGUGGCAUUUGAAAAUAAACUACAUAACUUGUUAUGAAAUUAUUAUAUGUGAAUAAUAUCUACUGUAUAUUGAGUAGUCUUCUUGAUGUGAUAUCAUACAGACAGAUCAAGUAGCAAUAGGUCACAUAUCAUACAAAAAAAAAUCAAUGGAGAAUUUCACAAUUCAUUUUUUUUCCCUUGAGAUAACACAAAUAAGGGAUCUGGACAUCUCUUUUUGACUAGGUUAGUUAGUUUGGGAAAACAAGAAAGGUGUUAUAUAGAAAAAAGUUUAAUUUAGUGGAGUCUGUAAGAUGUGUUUCUAAUCAACUUACAAACAGUAAAAUAAAUUACUAAAUGGGAAAAGCAAAGGCUCAUUAAACCUAGUUAAGUAGUGAUUUUGCCUCCUUCCUUCUCACUCAAAAAAUCAGUUUCUUCAGAAGAAAAGAAGUAGAAACAGCAAUCUGGUAGGGGAGCCAGCAAGGUGUAAAGCACUAUCUUUGUCUUCUGUGUGUCUCAUAGAUUCUAAUUAGCUAUCCCAUUUGGCAGUCUGCAGGUAGACUUUAGAUUAGUUUGCUUUGCAACCAACAAAGCACCAAAGAGAAAGGCCAUUUGCCACCAAAUAAAUCAGUAAAGUGGCUUAUUUAUCUAUCUUUUCCAUUAGGCAGGCACACAGAAUAUGUUUCUAUGAUUAUAAAGAUGCAAGAUGCAAUAAUAUGUAUCUGACUUCCUGUCUAUCAUGCAUUUGGUUUGGAUUAUAUCCUUUAUCUGAAGCAACGUUCUGAUGUGGGCUGUCCUAAACAGCUGGGCAAACCAUCUUGUCCAGAAUCCACUCCCAUCAAGUUUAUCUCCAGAUUUUCAGCUUAGAAAACCAUUGGCACUGUUUUUUUGUUUGUUUGUUUGUUUUUGUUCUUUCUUCUUGUUGUUGUUUUGUGUGUGUGUGUGUUUUCUGCUCCUGCAAUUGUAUGUGCAGUGAAUUUGGUGUUGAUAUGUAUAUUUCUGCAAAGCUUUUCCUUCCAGCACCAUGCGGCAAGACAUUUCUUAAGUAAGGAGGAAAGAGUAUGUUCCAUGUAAGUCUGUACUUCUCCAAUAUCAGUGUUUUAUAUAUAGUGUAAUGAACAUGCUGGUUCAAAGACGCAGGUUAAGUCCAUGACUAUAACUUCAAAGGACAGGAAGGUACAACUUGAAGUUAGAGAGGAUCUACAAACUUUUGAAUCUGGCUGCUGACACAAAUGACUUCUGUUAGAAGCCCAAUGUUCCUUAGGCAUCUUUGUGCUGAAAUCCUAAGGUACCUUUAGUUUCUUGCAAAAGAAGCUUGACAGUCACAGUUAUCUUUGGAGAAAGUACUCUAAGCGUUCCUUUCAGUUAGCAAGAUUAGUUGGUAUUGAUUUAUGUUUUAACUGGUUCUAUAUUCUAGUGAUUGAAAACAUUUUCCAAAUCACUGGAAAUGUUUGAGUUUCAUUAGAGUGUUUAAUAUCAUGUUUAUCUCCCCAUAUACAGCUGUGAGUGAUUCCAGCGUUUGCAGUAUUCUCUCACACUGCCCAGCCAAGUGCGCAUCACAGCAUGCUCUGAAGCCCCAUUAGGUCUAUCACAAAUUGCCUAUAUGUUUGCUGGAGAUUUGUAAAUAACAUUAAUAUUUGGUACAAAGAGUGUGUUGUCAAGUGAAAACGGAUAUUUUUAUAUUUGCAGUUAUUGGGAAGCUCUCACAGGGUUUUAGACACAGUCAGAUGCAGCUCUGGUGCACACUGCAUUUCUCUUACUCUUCUGCCCAGACUGCAGUUUUAUGCACGUGUGUCUGUCCUUUCCAGAGUGCAGGUUCCUUUCCACUGCUCUCACACUGCAAACUAUAUCUUACCUCAGAACUCUGUAUCCGUUGCACUUCUUUAUGGGUGCAUGCUUCGAGUAACAGAAGUUGUUGCUUUUUUUUUUUUUUUUUUUGUCCUCCUGCUAAAAGUCCAUUACUCUGCUACACACAGAGCCCGUGAAUACUGAAGUCAGGGGCAGAUAUUGGUCCAGUAAACAGUGUGAAGCUCACAGAGCCCCUGAGAGCUGCCUUGUACUGAGUUAAUAUUCACAUCUUUUUUGCUCACUGAGGUCUGUGCCACCACAGCUAUCUGACUUUAUUAUUUUAAAACUAACUGUAGGUGGAUCUUAGAGGUUCAGCUUCCCACUUUCUACAUACCAGCAUAAAAGUAUAUGAACUGAUUAGAAAGCCUUAAACUAACUUCUUUGAUCAGAUAAAUUCAGAAUGAAGGGAUUAAAACUGAACCUCUGGAAAGACCUGCAGACCUGUCUAAUAAGUGCAGUAGUACUGGGAUACCUGUAAGUAGUUCUACAAUUAUGACUCAAGACAGAAUGCUAAGAUAAGGAAGCUAUGAGGAGGCAGAAGAAAUUCUUCUGGAUACCUUUCCAUAAAUUGUGCUAACAUAAAGGAUCUGUCCAUUACCAGAUUUAGAGCCUGGCAAAAAUUUCUCAUCCCAGAUCAGGUCAACAGGACACUUAAGUAAUCAUCUUGAGAUGGAAUAGCCUUUCCCUUCUUCAAAUGUAAGUUGUGCACCAAGCCAUCUCAUCAUCAAGCAGGUGAUAAUAGUAAUAUUUAUACAAAAGAAAAUAAGUAUUGUCCUCAUUCUUCCCAGUUUAGCAAACCUAUUUGUCUAUGGUGUCCAUUCAGAAAUUAUCUGCUCCUUUGCCAAAUACUGACUUCAUCUGUCAGCAACAGAACUGAACACAGAUGGAAAAAUGCUCAAGAACUGAAGGUCAAGGGAUGGUUACCCCAGUAUGCAUGCAUCUGGGUGUGUAUGCUGUGUAUGCUUUUGUGUGCCAGGUUGGCUCUUACUCCUUGAGAAGUUACUUUCAUUCAGUACUUGUUGCAUUUUCUCAUUCUUGUAUUAACAUAUUGCUUAGGAAAGUGUUUGUUACAUCUGGAUCACAACUGUAUUAUCAUUGAAGGGAAAAAGAUUGGUACAGUUCAUCUAAUUUUAAAGCAGAAAUGAAAGCAGCUAAUGCUAGACAGUCAAUUUAAUGUUGAUUUUCCAACUCCCUAAAUAUGCUAUUGCCGUAUCUAUUGUCCUAACUCAGCUUAUAUUAUUACUUAACAGAUGUGACAAAUCAACAUUAUCUUGUUAUUUACAUAUGUAUUUAUUCACUUUCUAGAUGACCUCACUAAAUCCAGUAGGUGAAAUGGGAGGGAUAUAAUCCACAUAUUAUGCCAUUAUGUUGACAUGAAUUGUAUCAACAAUUCAGCUUUCCAAACUGACUCCAUGGUUACAAGGUUGUGUCAGGGAGAUAGACAAGUCAGCUUUUGGAAUGUAGUUUGAAAAUUAUAAAUAUUUUAGCACAGUUGCUUGUUUGAUAUGGUGAGCCCAAUAAUUAAGAUGGGCUGUUCAAAGCUGGAAGCAGGCAUCUCCCUUUUUAUUGCAGUAUCUUCUUUGUACCUUUUGUUUCUUUUUUCAUCUAGGGACAAGUUGAGGCCAAUAGCUUGCACCUUGUAAGCAGGGUUGUUAUUUUAGAAACCAUCUCUUCCUGUACUUUGUAGCUAAUGGGUUAUUUCAGUAAACUUCUCUUAAAACAAUUUGUGAAGCUGAAUCAACGGAAAUAUUUCAUUUCAGUAUUAGUAAUUAUUUCUGGUGACAAAUUUAAGUAAAAAAAGAGGCUGGGAACAGGAUAUGAGAUUAUGGUAAAAGAGGUGAGUACUGUACUCUGUACUCUGUCCCCUUCCCAAAUCAAGGCCAGUCGAUUAAUACAGCCCUGUUGAAACCUUUUUGGACAAAUGUCAGCAAAUCAGGCUACCGGACUUGUUCUGCCUGUAGUCUAAAUGGGUAAUAACUCCCAAGUGCCUUGAAGCCAGACAGCUUUUCAAUCCCCAAUCUGAAUUACUGCUGCAAUUUUAACCUGGUUACAUGAAUAAAUCAUUCUAAAAAAAUAAAAGUAAGAAGAUAUUGAACAGCCCAAGUAUUUAUGGCCUCUGGUUACACUAGUGCUGGACACAGGGCAAGAAAACCAAUUUCCAGGGGUGGCCUACUUCAUACAUCACUAGUCAACUAUGCUAAAGUGCUGAUGGCAAGGAACACCUAACUAUGCAUGAUUAGACCAUGGUGGCAGCACAUAUUUUUUUCUUUCAUGUUCCUUCACUUGAAAUUUAGAGGACGUAUCACUCUUUAGUUUAAAAGAUCAGAGGUCAAGAAGUUUCAAUCUCAUCUUUCUUCCAUUUGAACCUUCAUCUCAUUUUUCUCCCCAAAACAAUGUUUACAUCCAUUGUUAGAUGCUGUGGUGAGAGAUGCUAAAACAUGUUUUGUUUUGUUUUGUUUUUUUUUCCGCCUGUCAGCCAUCUGUCUCAACAAGCCAAAUACAAACUAUAAACUAGAUUUGAAAUAUAGCUAAAUAAGGUGAGGUCAUUGCACGCAUAGCCCUCCUUUCUCUGUUGGAUUUGAGGCAGUUUAGGAUUACAGGUAUCAACUCUGGUGUUUGCAUUAUCUUGUAUGGAUUUGAUGAUGGCACAGACCAGGAACUCUGUGAGACAUGAGAACCAAUUAAAAAGUGCAAAGAUGAGAUAAGGCUUUAUGACUUAGACCACCAGCUAUGAAACUGAAUCAGUGUUACAAUCUGACACUAAUGGCAUCCUCCUGGGCCAUAUCCUACUGGGAAGUUGCAUCAUGUGACUUUAAGCAGAUGAAGUAUGAUCCUCACAGACAGAAGUUUUGCCAAGACUUGUGAUAGAGUCUUCAAUCAUGGUGACUGUGUAUUGACCUGUGGGUAAGAAUUUUGAAGUACCUUAAAUGAAGCAAUUAGGACAGUUUGAUAAUCAGCCACCAAGUAACCUUGAACAAGAGUUUCCUAAUUCUAGUAUUCAAUCUUUGCAGCUUUGUUAUACAAUGAAUCAGUAGAAUUGUUAAAUAUAUUUACAAAUAGUUCCUAUCAGAAAGGACCAGAUGCAAUGCACUGCAAGUUUGUACUAUCUCUAAAAUUGUGAAGAAAGGAUAUAAAAUACUUUUAAACCUGGUAGCAGUCCCCUUGAACAAGUUCUAAUGAAUGCAGAAACUGCAUUGAGGUAAUGAGUAAGAAGGUCUGCUAGUCUUUAUUCUGAUUUAUUUGAGGUGGUGGAUAUUAAUGGAGAAGGUGAUUCUGCGUUAUCUCAGCCUUGUCUGGGCUUGCUGGGACUUAAAUUAUGACAUUUAAUAAAGAAGUGAGGCUGCAUGAUCUAAUAGCUUUCUACCGCCCUUUUCUUCCAGCCACAUGUUUUUUUUUUUUUUGCCUCCCUGUAUGAGAUCUACUAGUCACUCAUUCACUUGGCAAGCCAAUUCAGCUCAUAAAUUUAGGAGGAAAAAUGUCCAUUUAAAAAAAAAAAAAAAAAGUCUUUUCAGCCUAAAUGAAUGUGAGUAGGAAGCCAAGAGAACAGAUUCGAUAACUGACCACCUACACUGUACUGGUGCAGCCUCACCUUGAGCAUGGUGUGCAGUUUUGAACAGUACAGUACAAGGACAUAAAAAUAUCACAGAGCUUCCAAAGGAGAGCUACAAAGAUGGUAAAGGGUAUAGAGGGCAAGGCAUAUGAGGAGUAGCUGAGAUCCCUUGUUUCAUUCAGCCCAGAGAAAAGGAGGCUGAGGGAAGCCUUAUGGUGGUCUACAGCUCUUCACUGGGGGAGCAGAGGGGCAAUGCUGAGCUCUGCUGUUUGGUGACGGUAACAGGAUCUGAGGGAAUGGCAUAGAGCUGCAUCAAGGGAAGGUCAGUUUGGGUGUUAGGAAAAGGUUCUUCUCCAGAGGGUGGUGGGCAUGGAACAGGCUCCCCAGGGCAAGAGGAGCUGCCUGAGUUCAAGGAUCAUUUGGACAGUGCUCUCAGAUAUUGGGUUUGAAUUUUGAGUGGUCCUAUAUGAAGGCAGGAGUUGGACUCUAUCUUUAUGAGUCCCUCCUAAUUUAGGAUAUUUUAUGAUUCAGUGAACUUCCAGCUAUCAAAGAACAGUUUGUUGGAUGACUUUUCUUGUGAAACUUCAAAUGCAGAGCAUUUUUUGGGUAUUUCAACUGGAGUACUGCCUGACUAGGUUACUCAGCAGAGGACUUCUUCCUGCCAUUGUAGUGUGGUCCAGGCUUACAUAAAAACAUUUAAUAGCUCUUAUUUAGCUUUUAAAAAGAAAAUCUUUACUUUAUGGUGAGAGCUACAAAGGUCUGGAUGUGGUUGCAAUCCCAAGAAGUAUUUUUUUUUUGACACAGGGAGUCAUGUUCACUAGUUCAGUUGGAACGAAUUCCAUAUUUCAUGGAAAAUAAACUUAAAAGAGCUUUUCCUCAUGUGUACUUAGAGAACAACAGUACUGUUGAUACUUAAAAUUGCCUUGGAUUUCAGUCUUCAUAUUUGAAAGACCUAACUUAUUCAACACGGACAAAGACAUUUUCUUUAACAGUAUAAUGGUGUACAACAAGAUGUAUUGUAGAGUUUUUACUUGUCUCUGCAGUAUUUGUUAAAGGUCUGGUGAAGACAUAAAUUAUCAUCAUCCAUCUAGCACAGCCUCCUUUCUUCUGUCCUUUGUAGUCAUAAAGACAGAAAAAACACAAGGAGCCUUUAAUACACAAGGACUCUUUUUAUGUCCAAUAACAUUUAUAGUUCUGGAUGCUAAGAGAAAAUAAGUAAAAUGUAUGUUUCAGGAUAAAUAAUAAAUACUAAAAGAAAAGAAAAAAGCAAACAAAACAACUGCAAAGCUACAAAUCUCUGAACCGAUUGGGUAGAUGCUUUGUGGUCGGUCUUCCUGAAGUCUCUGUCACUGGUUUCCUGAGUUGAUAGACCAAUAGCUUGAUGCAGUCUGGCAAACUGUGUUUUUAAAGACUUGAACAAUGCAUUUGCUGCGUACUUUUUAAGAUUCACUUAAGGAAAAGAACUAUUUGAAUGCAUUUUUUGUGUAACAGUGAAUUAUUCAUUUUAGCAAAUCCCCUUUUCUCUUUGUGACAGUCAACUUUUUUUUUUUUUUUCUUACAAGCAAGUAGCUAAUUUUUUCUUCUCCCCUCACCUUUUUCCAAUUACUAUUAUUGGAAGUCUAACAGGCAUUUUGUUGCUUUAUUACUGCCCUCUGAGACCCAGAGUUGUGUAAUGAAGGACAAGGUCAUGCCACUAAUGUAUUAAUUCCAUUUCAAUUUGCUAGUAUUUGUACAAACUAUAGGCAUUAUCUGAAACUUGAUAAUGUUUCAGAAAAAAAAAAAAAAAAGGGAACAGAAAACAUUUUGUACCAAGCAGAAGAUGAGUAAACAUUUAUGUUCUCAGUAUUUCCAUAUGUAAAGCAGAACAAGUAAUUCAGAUAUUUGUAGGGAUAAAUGAACUUUGCUGACCUUCUGACAAACUGUAUCAAAUCUUCCUUAUUCACUAGUUUUAGCAUGUGACUUCACUAGCAUAUUAGUGUGUUUCUAAUGACAGUAAUGAUGUGUGAAGAAUGCAACUUUAAAUUGCUAUACUUAAUUAUAGCUAUUUUCCCUCUCUGCUCCCCUGCAAAAUUGUUUCCUUUUUUAUUUAAUGGCCAGUGAUCAAAUGAUUUAAUGAAAUGAUCUGUGGAGAGAUUCUAUGAGAGCAGAUUUGACACCUCUGAUAAUUCAAGAGGUUUUGGCUCAUUUCUUAGGAUAAAUAGCUUCAAAGAGUCUCCAUUGCUUAAUAUUAACUUCUGCCUAUGUUUUAAUUUUUGGAUAGUGAUUUUAAGGAAUUGCAUUCCUUGCUAUUUGAAGCUUUUUAAAAUUAUUCAAAUGAGGUAAUGAAAUUAUCUAUCAAGAUCCACGGUGGUCAAAAGCAAUCUCUUGUGCUAGACUUCAGCUACCUUCAGACUGUGCUAUAGAAUGUUACAUUAGUUGCUAGGUUUCAGGAAUUAUUAUUAUCUCCAUCCAGGAGACCUUAUUAAAAUCUAUGGGCCUUUUUAGCACCUGGAUUAGCUGCCAAUUCUCUAGGUAAUCUCUAGGUAUCUGGGGGGGUUGGGGGAAGUGUUGAUGUUUCUCUAAAUUCCUCUUGGUUAUCAUCGUCUUGGGUGUCAUUAAAUUGGAUAUAGAAAUUUGAGGUAAAAAUGUGCCAUUCUUCAUGCAAGUGAAUAUUUAUUUUGCCUGUAGGGCACAAUGUGAAACCUGAUGUCUUUUGCUCAGAGGGAUGUGAUGCCUAAUGACAACAGAAGGGGGUGUAUUUGUAAAUUCUUUUACCGUUUUAACUCCAGGCAGGGUUGAGAGGAGGUUUGGAGUAGGAAGGAGAGGCAUAUGAGAUGGCAAAGAAAUCCAAGUAGCUUAAAUGGGGGGGGGGGGGGGGGGGGGGAAUGGAUAUACUAACUUGAGCUCUUGUUGCCAUGCUAUGAUAGAAAUAAGUUUUGCAGGAAAAAGAAAGUUUAUGCUGAAGUUACUGUAGCAUACAACAACACAAGUCACAUAUGAGCUUGUGAACUAGAAGAAUCCUUCUCUGAUAAGUAUUUCAGCGCAGAGAUUGGCAAAAGAAAUGUAAGAUGCUCUCUUUAUCCUUUCCACUUCAUCAGUGAAACAACGUGAUGAAAUUUAAAUGAGAUUGUUUGUUAUGAUGGAGGCUCUACCUUUGUGCUAGCCCAUAGUGUAGAACAGGUCAGACACUCCAUUGUUAUUUGAAAAUCAGUGCUAAUAGAGUAACUUAAUUAAAAUUAAGUGAGUAUGAUUCUGUCUCUUACAUUUAAGAUUGAUGUAGUUUAUUUUCAGCUGCUUCUUUGCUUGAGGUUAAACUCGGCUUGCUUGAAGUCCUCUUUUCUUUCUUUAUUUAUUCUUUACUUCUCCUGAAAGUCCAUGAAAUGGUUCAAAGGUUUGGUGAAUUCAGGUUUGGGAAAGGCAUACUAAGUCAUCUCAGUCUGCUCUUCUGCUAGACCUCAUUAACAUUUAUUCAUUCCUUCAUUCUUCAGCAUGUCUGUUAAGUGAUAUCACAAUAAGAAUUGUGUUCAUGAAAGCAAAAAACAAUUAUACAUGGGCAGGACAAUGCGAAUUUGAGAAGUUACAUGCCUACAUGCCAUCUGAACAUAAAGCCUAGACUUUUUUCAUUCAGUGACAUAUGCAGCACUGCCUCAACUUUUUAUAUAGUAGCUGCAGACUGUGGCCUUAAAAAAGGUAACUGUAAAUUGAGGGAAGAUGAAAAGCAGUAUCAUGUUAUGUCUCCUGUAGAACAGUAAUUUCUUUAAAUACAUGUCUGGAUUUUGCACUGCCCUUAGAUAAAGCAUACAGCACAUGCAUUUUCUCAUGUUCGGUGUGCUAUUCAUUUGCUAUUUUUUAAAUGUACCAGAAAGUAGCAUUAAAAUGAACAAAUAUUUGUGGAUGGAGAAGGAAAAUGGGAAGGUAACAAAUACAGUCAUCUAUGUUCUUGUUGUUGAAAAUGGAAUAAAGUUUUCAUUCAUGCUAUCAUCCCUUUUUUCAUGGUAAUAUAUUUCAGGGAAAAUCAAAAUGCCUUUGUUCAUGUAGUUAUCACUACAACUCCGGAACAGUACCUCUACGUACCACAGAUUGUAUAACCUGACACAAAAUAUUAUCUAGUUUUACUGCAUAGUUGGUGCUUUCUGAAGUAGUAAACUAAAAAACAUAAAUGGCAAAAUCACAGUAGCCCACAGUGCAUCUCUUGCUUAUUCUUGUGCAAAGAACUUGUACCUUGAAGAGUUGUAAAGUAGAUUGCAGAAAAUUGUUUGGGUUGGAACUCAGGUUAAAUGCCUUCAAUUAUUAAAAAGCAUCCUGCUACAAUCAAAUGCACGCUGCCUCAGAGAAAAAAGAACUAAACAAAAAUAUUCUCAGAUGCAAAACAUACACGCUCUCUGUUUCUUCCCUACACAAUUUAGGUAAACAAAAAAGGAGUAUAAAAUGUGUGUGCACCUAUCUACUUUCUUGCUACUCCACUUAUUUUUGCUUAUUUCUAAUAUGAUUAUGAAUUUUUUGGCUAUGUGAUACUGAGGGAAUUGAGUGAGUUUCUCAUUUUUUAUAGAACUCAGUGCUUUUCUUUGUACCUCAUUUAUACAUGCUACGAACUACCUUAAUUUUCAGUGUGGUAUUUCCUUUGCUAAUAAGCAUACUUUGCUAACAUUUUGCAAGGUUGAAUUUGUGCGAAUACUUUUUUUUCUUAGACAAUUCUUGUAAGCUGCUAGACCUAUUCCUUAGUCUUUUUUUACUGAAAUACCAAUGAACCAUCAGCAUGGUAAGAGAAAGUUGUAGAGACUUCUCAUUAAUCUGGAAUACACCACUACUCCAAUUUUUUUUGUUAAUGGAAUUUUGACUUAGAUUGUCAUUUGAAUUCUGCGAGUUUUCCUCAAAUUAUUUUGUAGAGGCCAUGUGUGCAGUGAGCAUUUAGUGAAAAGCUGGCAGAAACUGUAGAGGAUCAGUACCAUCUUAACAUCUCACUCCAGAGUCUGAAGGAAUCUGUUCAUUAUUAUAAUCAAUUUCCUCAGCUCUAUUUAUAUAUGUUAUUGGCCAGUCUCUACUGCGGAGAAAAAAAAAAAAAAGUCUUUCAAUUCUGUAGUAAAAUAUCAGAGAAACUUCCAUUAGAGUUUUUAGAUGACUAUAACAGCCUUAAUUUUUGAAAAUUUUUGUGCUAUGGGGAUUCUACAAGCAUAACUGCAGGCCUCCUGGAUGGCUAGUAGAAGGUAAACAGCCAAAAACUUGUCAAAAACUGCCAUAAAUAUGUGUGGAAAAGGAAUGGAUUUGGCCAGCAUUUAGAUAAUACACUAACUCUUCUGAGGAGUUAUAAAAUAGAUUACGUAUUAAAGGUUGUUCCACAUCUGUGUAGGUAGGCUGCUCCAAAAGUAAUGCCUCCUAUUUAUUUCCAUGGGAACUACAACAAAGGGCACAAUAAUGCUAUUUGAUAGAGUAAGUUUUCAACUACAGAUUACUUUUUUUUUUUUUUUAACACAGUUAUCACCAUGAACUACGCAUUGUUGUCAGUUAUGAAUGGGAGCCUGCAUGCUGCACUCGUACAAAUCUGCAUCAGUGGAGGUGACUCAGAAUUUCACAGUUACUGUGAGCAUGGCUUGUCUUUCACAUCGCUGUAACCACUGCUGAAAUACACUACCCUCCACCUCUCUGUGCUUACAUACACUAUUUGGUCUCCAUGAAUGUUCAGCAACUGUCAAUGAAUGCAGUUUUUUUCCACAUGGAAUAAUUCAGUUGCACAGCUUUGCUUCAUACAUUCUUCUAUGCUAGGUGCCAUUUUGUCAGAGUGCCCCUCUGAUGCCAUCUGUCAAGUGGCAACAAAAUAGAAGGAAAUACUGGUAGAAAGGUUCAACUUCUACUGCCACAUCACCAAUGUCUACCUCUGAUAUUGUGGGGCAAAAUAACACAGGAAGAAACAUUACUUUCAGAGAACCCCUUGUAUGGAUCUCUAUUCUCUUGGAUAUAUCUCUGUUCCCUUGUUGUGGAAAAACCCUAUGGUUAUUUAGCAGAGAAAGCUCAUCUGUAUUUAUCAAACAACCAAUUUUUUUAUAGUAUAUUUAUCAAAUACAGGGAGGAUAAUUUUUAAGUCUCUAGAAUUUUCACUCUCUAUUAGUACAAACAAAUUUCUUGAGAACACCUUGCUAUAGAUGUGUAUAAACUUGAAUUUCAUCAAAGUGUUUGAAAAACUAAAUAAGUUUUUUUUAAUUAUGUAAAAUAAGCCAGCUAAAAUUUUGAGAGAGAUCAAGCAUUACCUGCGGGAAAGAUCCAGGGAGUACUGCUUAAUAAAUCAUCAAGGGGAGGAGCACUGAGCAGAGUAAUGCAGGUGUAUUGGAAAUUAAAGGAUACGUUAGCUCAUUUUUAGAAAGCUCGUUCUCCACUGAAUGUGUACAAUAAAUUUGUAAAAGCUUUACAGCUGGUCCUAUUUGCAACAGUCAUGAAUUAGAUGUCUUUCUGGAUGCAUUGUUGUAUCAGUGGGACAGAGGUUGCAAGCAUGAAUUUGUGUGUGGAUAAUGAAGCUUCUCAAUCUUCAGACAAAAGCUUAUGAGUCGAUGUUUUGCAUAAAUGUGACGAGGGUCUGAGUCAGCCUCAUCUAUUAGGUGGAUUUUCCUGGAUUUUCUAUAUAACUAGUGCCACCAAAGACAAAAUGUUUUUUUUAAAUCCAAAGAAGAGACUCCCCUUGUGUAUAAAUUAAUAUUUUAAAGCAGAAAAGUACCCUCAAAAUAGCCAAAGAAACUGAAACUGGAAGUUUACAAAUUUUAUUCUGUUAGACUUCUCAAUGCUUGCAGUCUUCCCAUUUCUUCCCUCGUACCACUGCAGGCUCCAAGCCUCCAGGCUUGUUUUCAUCCCUGCAAUUCUGUGGCUCAAGAGCAACAUGCACACACUCUGCUCUGGGCCUAAAGAUAAGGACUUUUAUCCACGUCUUUCAGUGGUUUCUGCUGUCCAGGCUCACUUCUCUGGUAAGCUCCCAUUCAGAGUCCUUCUGCUACCUCCCCUUUUUUCACUCACCUUUAGUCUCUGCCCCAAGGAAAUACUUCUUGUCCUCAGAAACUUCAUCAUAACCCAAUGUGCAGCAGCAGGACAAAGCAAGUAACAGGUUGCCCCCUAAUGUGCACUCAUGUUGUGUAAUAUUAGUUGCACCUCACAUAACAUACACCAUACAGUAAAUUAUGAAUUAAAAAUGAAAUAAGCGUUUCAUCACAGUAGAACACUGCACAUUUGCAGGAGAAUGUGAAUACAUUAUAAAAUCAUCAGAUGUUUACAAAUACUGAAUUUUCUAUGAGGACAGAAUAAGAUACAGACAAUAAAAAUGCUAACAGCCUAUUCAUAGUGGUAACUAUGAUCAAUGGCAAAGCUUUCCCUCUUUUCAUUAUAGCUGUAUUUGCUAUCGAUAGUUUUACUUUAAAAAGACCCCGAGGAAUAAAAACAAUAUUCAAAUUUGCAUUGAAGAGGAUAACACAGUAGAUACAUAAGAGAAAAUAUCAAUAAGGCAGAAAUGUAUUUAGCAUUAUAAUGCUUGGUCUUGUUAACCUCAGACUUGAGACACUAUGUCUUUCUCUACCUAAUAAAACUGCCUGCUCUAUUAACAAGUAGAAAAACACGACCAUGUGUGAGAGGAAAUCAAGUCAAUGCAGGUAGCAAAAAUAUUUUGCUAGGAAAAAAAGAAAAAAAAAACAGCAGUGCAAAAUAAAAUCUGAGAUUCAGGAUAAAAGACUGAAAGAUGACCUCAUUUUUUUUCCCUUACACACAUUAGUAUUAUAUACUGUGAAAAUAUGAAAUAUAUCUCCUUUUGUUCUACUCUUAGGGAAGACCUGUAAUUGUAGUUUAUAUCUACAGCUGGAGGCGCUACAUGUUUGGGAUGGGUAUGUGAUGUUUUCUUUUUUCAUGGCGCACAGUAGUUUGCCAUUUAAUGCUUAAUCUUUUACUUGCAACUAGCAAAGAAUGGUUUUUAAGGGAUUGUGUCUUCCCUCCAUAUUCUUGAUUAAAUAUGCAAACAAGAAUAUUCUCUCUUCCUUCUGUGGUAUUUGUCUGCUUUAAUUUUCAUAUCAGAUGUAUUUUUUUUUCAAUGCUUAUAGAUUUUCUUGCUAGUCUUAAGUAUAUUUUGACGUCUCAGAACUGACUUUUGAGGGCUCAAACGUACUUGUAAAAAACAGGAAUUGGAUAUCAAACUAAUUUAGCAAUAUUAAAAGAAACCAAAGAGAAUUACUUAAAUAGAACAACAUGACAGUCCCGCAGGGUGAACUGCUGGCAGUGACAGUGGCAGGUCUUUAGGAAAAUUACUAGAACUGGCAUUCUAGCAGUGCCUACUUGGUUUGUCCUCUCACCUUCCUGCUACUACUGCAUUUUCAUGUUUAGUAGGCCUGGGUGGGCUUCCAUGAAAUUGGCUAGUCUGUUUUUGAACAUGCACAGGCUUGCACUGUGGCAAGGACUAGCUUGUAAAAACAAAACAAGAAGGAAAACAAACGAAACCAAAACAACAAAAAAAGUCAGUGAAUCUCUGGCCCUGGAUAGACAGAACUGGUUUGUUUGUUUGUUUGUUUGUCUUCAUUUUUCCUUAUUUUUUCUGUGAGUUACAUCUAAAAUACAGUUAUGAAAGUGGCAUGUUAGCGAUACUGUAGAUACCUGUGCUCAGUUUCACUUAAUUAAAUGCUUUUCUAGGAUGCUGUCUAACGUUAAGGGAAGUGUAGUUCAUGAAAGUAAUCUUUUUUCAUGUAUUGUGAUAAUCUUUAAUUUAGUCUGUUACAAGUUUACAUACUUUUAAUGUUCAUCUGCAGGGUUUAGUUUGAUCAUUUAAUCAUCUUUCACUAGCAUAAGAAGGGCCAUUCAUCUUCAAUCUACUUUAUUAAAACAAUGACAAAAUGGGCCUUCUUAUAUGGAAAGCGCUGGCAAUCAGAUCCAAUAAGAGAAGCACAGAGAAGAACAAAUAGCCAGGCAAGGAACAUAAUUGAUUAUUUCUUCUAACUUUUAAUUAGAAAUGUAUAUGUUUUCAGAGGUUAACUCUACUGUAUAGAAAUGAAUCAUCUAUUUAAAAUUCAUUUUCACAUGAUUUUUUUUCCUCUAAUGGCCUGUAUUUCCUGUGCUGUAAUGAAGUCCAGUUUUCCACAUAUUUUUUUAUGUGGUGCUAUACACGUAAGGCUGUUGUACAAACUUGUGUGGGGUGUUUUGUUUUGUUUUCCUUGCUUGUCUUUGUUUUUCUGAAUAUGUCCAAAGUCUAUAAGCAGCUGUUUCAAGCAGAAAUAAGUAGAUAUAAAGCCUUGGUCCAUAUGCACAUAACUUUGCAGUCACUGCUUUGGUGCUGGCCACUAAAUGUUCAACCAACAGAGCUGACAAUUUCCAAUUCACCAGUUAAGAAGACUCCAGCUGUCAGGCCUUUCUGUGGUUUGCUCAGAAGAGUUGUGUUUUGCUGUUUCUUGUUUGCAGUGCAGAUGGUUUGCAAUCUUUUAGAAAAACUAAAGACCUAGCCCAUUGCAGUUCUUGUACAGUUUCUAGAUUUCUUCACUUGGCUGAGAUACUUUGAAUGUGACUUUAGGAUGAUGACAGUGACUGUCAUGGACCUAUGCCCAUCUCACACACAGCAGCCAUGCUUUCCUCGGUGGUUUGCCAUCCAUUUGGUUGUGCAGGUGGCAAGGUUUUGGUAGUGGGAAUCCAAAGGGCCACUCUAUGAUGAGAGGCCAGGGCUACCCAGUGCGGGGCACAGCCAACUCCAAAGGCAUUACUUCAGGGCACAGCUGGGCCACAGAGCCUAGGUGGCAGCACAUUAGUGAAAAUGUAUUUAAGGGCAAAAAAUGCUGCAGAGGUGAAUGAGAAAAACAGACGUUUGGACACCAGAGUCAGAGAAGCUGGAGAGUGAGGAGGUACUCCAGGCACUGAAGCAAAAGUUCUCCUGCAGCCUGCGGAGAGGCCAAGCAGGCUGUUCCCUUACAGCCCAUGGAGGCACACCACAUGAAAUAGAUUACUACUUGGAGCCCAUGGUAGAGCAGGUGGGCUUGGGCUGUAACCCAUACAGAUGUUGAAGUAGGCUCUUUGAAGAGACGACUAUGCAGGAAUAAGCUUUCUGGAAGAAAUUGCAGUUUGUGGGAGCCUCAUACUGGACCAGUAUAUGCUUAAGGGACUGCACCUUGUGCAAAGGACACCUGUUAGAUCAGUCCAUCAAUCUGUUUUGCCUGUAGCAGUAGAAAAGCUUUGGGGAACUAUUUUUAAUGUAUAAUCUCUUAAGAGGCAGCUGUAGUUUGAGAGAGUCCAAUAAUAUGUGGAUAGAGAUGAGUCUGUAUUGAAAUACUGUGAACUGUGCUAUUCACUUCCUCCUGAAUUCCUACAGGAUUUUUCUCAUAUUAUAAAUAGUCAAAAACAGGGCAAUACUAAAGAGAUAUUAGUAUCAAUUGCUUUGUCAGACAUUCUUUGUUUCUGAAGUGAAGAUGGUAGAGAGGAAAAUCCAGAAGUUCUCUGACAGCUAUAUAGCUACAGGUUUGUGCUUAUUCCAGUUAGAUCUUUUAGCAAUGAAUAAUAGUAAAAGCAGGAAUUUUCUGUCCAAUCCUACUUAUGUGACUUAUAGGCUAAGAUAAAUAAAUCUAAUAAACCAGGUUUCUAAUGCUAAUGUUCACUCUCUGCCUUAAACACUUGCAAUAUUAUUAUUAUUAUUAUGUGUAUUUUGUGACUGUAAUGCUGUAGUGGUCUAGGUUAGAGCUUUUCUUCCAGCCUAUAGAAGUACACUAGAAAUAGUGACAUUUCCAUAUGUUAAAUGUCUUCAAUUUUAUUUCUGCCUUCCCUAAGUGCUUAGCCCAAAUUAGAAUAACAUCCCACCACCCUUUUCUGUUUUAUAUUUCCUUUUCCUCUGAUAUUUUUAGAAACUGGGUUGCUCACAAGGAUAUGCUUUUCAAAUACCUUUCUGCAUUUUACUGUCUAAUUACAUGACAAAGACUAGUUAUUAAUGCUGUAAUAAAUCUUACUGAGUUAGCUGGAGGGAACACUGUUUUUGCUUAACUUCCAACAUUUAUCAAACUCUAAACUGCUAAAAAUUAAAUUGGGCCCUUAGAGAUAGCACUUCCCUACCAGUGUUAUGCUUAAUCUGACACCAACAUCCAGGGGUUAUACUCAAUAUUGCUUGAUUGGCAUAAGUAAAAAUCAAACUAAAAAUUACAUCACAUUUCUAAAACAUGAGAUUUUAUCUUUGCUUAUAGGCAUUGCUUUCUCUGCUCAUUAGAAAUUAAAAUUACAACUAGAUGCAUCAGUAUUCCAUACAAAUGAUGCCUAAUAUUAUCGACUGUCAGGUCUAACAGAUAUCAAAGGCAAUUCUUGGCCCACGUUGCCUUGACAACACAUUUUGGUUUUGGCCUUCUUUGUAAAUUCAAACUCUUGAGUUCAUAGAAUUUAAUUAAGCUGCCUUUUUUUUUUUUCUUUUCUUUUUUUUCCUCCCUUCAAUAGGAAUCAUUCAGGGGUGUCACAGAAUUUGAAAUAUAUUCAAAUAAAACAAAUAAGAAGUGGAUGCUGUCACAAUUAGUCUUUACUAUCUGCUACAAACUGAGUGUAUGUUACCUUCUGAUGAUCUGUUCUUUCAUGGGAUGUGUGGAACUGUCGCCAAAAAGAAGUCUAUUCCAUUUGCUUGUUUCUCCCUUGGCAUCCCCAUGCCCUUUUCUUUAUGUUCAGUGUUGGAGACUUGUGAGACCUUUCUUCAGGAGCUGCCACUGAACCAUAGGACCAUGCGUUUUUUCCAAAGUAUUGCGCUUAAUGUUCCUAAUGCUGCAGUGCUCACAAUAAGGAGUUCCAGUGGUUUGUUGCCUUCAGUGUUAAAAAUAUCCCACUUAUUUUCAGAUGGAAUUAGUCUUGUUUCAGGUUUUGGCCAUUCAUUUCUGACUCUUCCAUCAUCAAAUUUUUCUGCUUCGUAUAGUAUUUAAAGAGUGUAGUCAAGUCACUCCUUCAUGUUCCUCUAGAUCAGUAAAACAAAUUACAACUCCUUUUAUGGCAUAUCAUUUCUCGAGGCAUGAGGUUGUCUUUUGAAUCUUCAACAAUUUUUCUGAAGUAUGAGCAGACAGUCAGGACCCAGCAGUCCAGUAGCACAUAUAUAUUCAGUGGCAUAUACAGAGAAAGUAGGACCGUUCUGAGCUUACCUAGUAUUUUCUUACUUAUGUACUCCCAAGCCUAUUUUUUAAUUCACAGUGUGGCAGAGAGUUGCUCAGGCUUAUCUGAGUAAAUGCUGUGACCUGUAAGUAUUCGUCUUCAGAUACUGUUCCCUGGGACAGAGUCACCAUUCAGUAAAUCUGGGCUUUGCUGUUGAUUCCCAGGAAUAUGAAAGUGAAAUAGUCUACAUUGAAAAGUAAGAAAAAUAAGGAAGUAGAAAAGCAAAUGGUUUAGUUCAGUGUCUUCACUGCAAAAUUAAGUUAUAUCCUAGUUUCAUGUAAGAUAGAUAAAUCAGACAUUUGGCAUUUGUUUUAUUUCCUUUCCUUGAAAGUUUUAGUUUACUGUCAGCCACAGUCACUAUCUAUUUACUGGUCUGCUGCUCAGUAGAAGGAUAGCAAAAGUGACAAAUCGUUAAUCAAUUUGGAAUAUAAGCAACCUUUUAUAUUGUUUUGUUUUCAAAAUAGAUAACUAUUGAAUAACAAAGCAACAUCCUGGUUAUUGAUCAUUUCUAGCAAUGUUGUUCCUACUGGAAACUUUCACUUUUCUGAUGCAAUUCAGCCCAUUUACACGUAUACAGCUAUUUUAGCAUGGUUACUGCCUUUGUCUCUAUGCUAUUUACUUUAAUAAAUAUCUGAUAGACAAUUUUACAGUUUCUAAAGAUCUUUUAAAAUUUAAUUUCCCAAUUUUUCUGGAUAUAUGUUUCAGGUGAAACUUUUGUCACUAAGAGAUUCUGUACUGCAUAUCUUCGAUUGCAUACAGAGUAAAUGGACAGGUACCCUCUGAUGAGAUAAUUAUUUCCAUUUGGAACGGGCAUGCACAUUCAUUUUUUACUUCAAGAGUCUCAAAUAGUGUAAAACAGAAAUGAAAAAAUAACCCAACAAAGCAGUUUGUUUACCUCUAUUCAUAUAUGUUUGAGGAAUUUCACCAACUAUGUUGUUCAAACAACUCCAACAGCCUCUAAGUUUCUAUUACCAUUUUGAUCUGGAAGCAGCCAGAAUUUAUUUUCCCUUUUCUGCUGGUAGCAUUGUGGGUUUGUUUGAUUCUGUGUGGUAGCAUCAAACGUCCCCAGUUAGAAGUGAGAUAUCGUUAUCUGUGCUGUGCUUAGCUUUGUUUGCCUAUGGAUGGGCAAUUUAGUCUUUUAUUCCUGUUAUGAGGAAAAUGUAGUAAUUCAGACUAGAAAAAUAGUAGGAGGGAUGAAGUACAAAGUUAAGCAUAAUAAUGCCGCAGCCUAAGAUAGACUCAUAGUUUAAAAGUAUUUCUUUACAUAAGUCAGUCAGUAAGUUAGACCAGUUUUCUGUUUCACAAUGUGGCCAUUAUUUCUUGAUAAUUGGCUUCUAUGAAUCAAGAAUUAAUCCUGAAGAGAAAUUUAUUUGAGGAAAAGGUGGAAAGAUGGAGUACAGAGAAGAGCAAAGUGUUCAAAUGAAAACAAAACAAAGCCAAUAAAUAAAAUCAAACCAAAAUCUUUGUAUUACAAAGCUGCCUUAGAAACAUCAUAUAUAUUUUUUCUCUCAGAUUGCAUCCUCUACUCAGUAUGCCAGAUUAAUUUGGACUACAAGGGAGAGAUGUCUGCUACUGUAAACUCUGUCUCAGCAUAGGGAAGGCUGUCCUUAGCACAGCAGACCAGGGACAUUCUAGAGGAUGGGGGGCAGCUUGUUGAAUUCAUGAGCAAAGAACUACUGAUGUUCAAGACUUCUUGUUUUACUCCCAAACUUCUCUCUUGUGAUUUCAGAAGGAAAUACUUGCUUAAGCUACAAAAACCAAUUUAAGAAAAAAAAAUCACAAUUAUGCAAAAUUAAGGUUCUUUCUGACUUCUGUAUGAUUUUUGUCCCUGUCAUGUUAAGUAUUGCAGCAGAGCUGAAAGCGUCUUUAAGAUGUGUUUUUGGGGCCCAGGUAAUGUCUGAAUUCUGAAAGAUUUGGACUAACUUAUGGUUUGCAAGGAAGAGUUAUAAGAAAGCUCUAUCAGAGAAAUUGGAAAGUGGUUAAAUUAGUUUACAGUAGAUUUAGAAGAAGGAGUUUGAGCUUUGCAACUAUUACUGGUUGUUCGCUUUUCUGAUCUGGUAGAAUAGGUCUCAAAAAGAUUCCAGCUGUUAUUUGUUUUUUCAACACAGGAAAAUCUGUGCCUUGGCUGUAUCAGCUCUACAGGCUGGGACAGACUCAUAACUUAUGAAGAUAUUCCUGUUAGAGUCUGUCUGAAUAUAAUAAUGUCUCAAGAGAUUUUAGCAUAAAAGAAGUGUUUAAUAAAGUCUGUCUCUCACUUUCUCCUCUGUUCCCUCAUUCGAAAGUACUCUUGGACUUUGCAGUGAAACUAAUGAAUCUUUUCCUCUGUAAUUCCUUUUUGCAGAAGCAAUUCUGAGUUGCUAUGACCUCUGAUUUCUCUUUCACCAGUGUGGAGAGCCAUGGGUACUUUGAGAUCUAGCAUCUCUCCAUACCUCUCUGUAUUGCUGCCUGAUGACUGGCAGUGUGGUUAAAUGUGAACUAUCAGGAUCAUAGAAUUGUAGGAGUUGGAAGGGACCUCUAUGUCCUAAUGUCAGCCCUAACCUAUAUUUGAUGCAUGCGGUUGUUCCUCCCCACAUGCAAGAAUCUACACUUGCUCUUGCUGAACCUCAUCAGGUUCCUCUCUGCCCAACUCUCCAGUCUGUCCAGGUCUUGUUGAAUGGCAGUAAAGCCUUCUGGUGUGUCAGCAAUGCAUCCCAGCUUUGUAUCAUCCUCAGACUUGCUGGAGGUUGACUAUCCCUUCAUCUAGGUCACUGAUGGAGAUGUUGAACAUGACUGGACCCAGCACGGGCCCCUGGGGUACAUGGCUAGUUACAGGCCUCCAACAAGACUGUUGUGAUUCACCGAUCAUUUUAAUUGGUUCUUAGAUACUGAGAAAUCAUUUUGUGUCAAAAAUAAAUAAAUAAAUAAAAAGCCCUUCAGUCUGCAUAAAACGGUGAAGUUCUGCAUCCUGUUGCAAAAUUGGGAUUGUGCCAGAAGUACGAAUAUCCUUGUAGGAGGUAACAAGAAAUUGAUUUUACUAUCAUAGAAAAGUGCUAGGAGUAGUCAGUUAGACUUUUUAAUCAGUGAUGUAUUUCUGCACAUGGUUCUGCAUAUGCCUUUUUACCAUGUGCAGCUCGAGUAAUAAAUAUUCAUAUUUUUGCAACAUUGCUAAGCAUUAUACAAAAACUUUCAGCCAAGAAAACAUACAGAAAUGAGGCACAGAGACAGUCUCAAACUGCUAGCCUAAAAUAAAGGAACUGACUACAUUCCAGCAUAGGUUUGUAAAGAAAGGCAAUGAGUGUUAUGUGAGCAAAUAAAACACUGUGACAUUGCACUCAGCAUUCACACAUGCUGAAGGCAAGCUGUGCCUGACCACACAGUUCUUCACCUAAGGGCUCCUAGCUUUGUCAUCAACCUCAGCAACAGUUCCAGAGUCAACAGAUAGCAGUGAAAUAGCUUGUAAAAUCCUCAGGGACUCAAGUACAGGCCAAUGAAAAAUUCUACAGUAUGGUGAAAAGGUUUUAUUCAAUAGCUUUUUUUUUCUACAUAGGCAACAAUUUCCUCUUAGGGUUAGUAGAGAGAUCCACACUUUUUGACUGAUUAAUAGGAGCUCACUACUUACAUCAUGAAAAUAAACUAAAUAAGUGGAAGUAUGAAUAUUCAAGUUAUCUCCAAUCAGGCAAAUAUGAGGUUGUUCCUGAAAUGAAAUGAUAAGUCCAAGCAUGUCCAACCUGAGGCUCAUGGGCUGUACGCAGCUCAGCACAGCUCACAGUGCAGCUCACCCCCUACCUCAUGUCAUCAUGGCAGCAGCUCUGCCCUGCUGAGCAGCCUGGUCCGGCUCCUCAGCACCAAAUGAACAUCAGUGCAGUGUGAACUCUGGCUGUGUUGAAACCAGGGUGCAGGUUGUGGUGCAGUGCAGUGCUAACUCAAGUUAUGGCAAAUAAGUUUAUAGAUUUUGAUAUAUUGACUAAAUGCAGUUUUGUGAACAGUAAAAACUGUGCAGCCAUACUUUCUGUUUUCAGAAAGAAAUUUGAGAAUAGGUUUUGAGAUUGCUGAAAAAAUUACCAGUCUUGCAGUUUAUUUGCAACACCAUUUUCAGUUAACAUAAAUAUAUUAUUUGUGAGUUUUCAAAUGGAAUGCACAGAGUUGCAAUCCAAAAUCUGAUCAUGUCUAUUUAUUACAUUUUUAUAAGCCCUCUCUUACUAGAGAGAAUUACCCCUCACUUCACAACUAUGCCUUAUUUGUGUCAUUGCUUUUUUGCAGUACGUACAUUUGUGAACAACAGUUUUGAAGGAUGAAAUACAGAAAGAGUGAAAUUUCAUCAAAAAUCUCUGACAAGCACCUUGAGAGCUCAUUGAGAAUUUCAUCCUGUGCCAUUGAGCCAGACUGAUUUUUUUAGUUUCACAAAACAGGGUCAAAUAUCUUAUUAAACUAUUUGUUUCUUUCAUAUUUUUUUAAAGAUUUUUUCUUCUUACUUUAUAAUUAUAUAUUUAUAUAUAAUAAAUACAUUCUGUAAUUAUAUAUUUAAUGAGGGCUGCUCCAAAAGUAACGCCUCCUAUUUUAUGAUGUUGGCCCAAAACAUUGAAGGUGAGUGUUGAUGGUAUGACACUACAGGCUGAACCUUCCCACAGCGAUUCCAUUACAUUUUGUUGCCAUGUGACAGAUGGCAGCAGAGGGACAGUCUGACAAAAUGGCAACUGACAUUGAAGUGUGAAAGAAGCAAAGAUGUGUUAUGCUCAUCCUCCAUUUGGAAAAAAUUGCACCUAUUCGAUGUUCAUCAAUACUUACUGAAUGUUUGCAGAGACCAAACAGCGGAUGUGAGCACAGUGAGGCAGUGGGUGGUGUGUUUCAGCAUUCACAACAGUUGAGAGUGCGUUGUCUUCGCUGAUGCAGAUUUUUUUAAGCAUGGCGUGCAGACUCUUGUUCAUUGCUGGUGAAAAUGCAUAGCUAGUAGUGGUGACUACGUGGAAAAAUUGUAUUCUGUAGCUGAGAAUUUGCUCUAUCAACUAGUGUUAAUGUGGUCUUUGUAUCUGCUGUGGUUUCUGUGGAAAUAAAUAGGAGACAUGACUUUUGGAGUGACUUGUGUCUGUGGGGCCCACGGCAAUGUGGCCCAGGCAAGACAAAAUUUUCCCAAUUAUGCUGUAGAACAUCCUGUAACAGAAAAAAAAUCCGCUGAAAUUACUUGUGAACUGAAUUCCUGUCCUAUUACUAAGAAAAUAGCCUUGCUCGGCACCUUUCUUGUAUAUUAGCCAUAUGUUCUUUCUCUUGGUUGGGAAAUACAUCAGACUCCCAUGUGAGUUUUAUCUAGCAGUUUUCCGCAGCCCAUGCAAUACAUUGUACAGAGUAUGCAUCCCAGUGAUAUUAGAAUUCAACACAGCUUUAUUUAUUUAUUUUUAGUAAGAGAGGAGUGAGUGAUCAAAAUCUUGGAUUUUUUGAAGCCAAACCUUGAAUAAUGACUUGCAUAAGCAAAGACAAAAUAGGUCUUUCAUACCAUUCAUAGGUCCUCUAGGAAACAAUAGUGAAUGUUGUCACGUUACUUGAUUAUUUAUUUGAAAUGUUCUGUGUACUCUGUGCUGCCUGUGCAGUAUAAUUUAGAAAGUUGCCAUUUAAAUCCACAUAUCUUACUGUGAUAUUAAGUGUAUUUAAACCUCAUAAAAUGCCUCCUAAUUUAUUUUUCAUUUAGUCCAUUUAAUAAAAUAGCAGUAAUGUUCUUUCAAGUGAAGGUUAUGGAAGGAAAAUUGCUCCUACUUUUAAAAUACACUCCUCAAUUUGCUGUACCAUUUAUUGCACUGCAGAAGUCAUUUACCCUCUGGAACAUUCACUUAGAAUAAAAUUAUUGCUAAAUUUCUUUAAAAAACACUGGAGAUUGAUCAUAUUCUUCAUAACUUCAAAUGAAAUUUUAUACACUGUUAAUGCUUCAGUGGUAUACUCAAUGUAAAUUCUAAAUUUAAUUUAUCCUUAUUGGUAUUGUUUUUGAAUUUGCUCUCUGGAAGCUUUGUCUUCUUCAGUCUUCGGGGAUGUAUUGAAGAAUAACAAAAAUUUUUGCACUGAUGAUGUUAUCUUAAAAUGUUUUAUAUUGCACUGCUGUUGCUCUUGAGUUUCUUCUUGUUACAGAAGAAACCGGUUUUAUUGUUUCAUGUAUUGGUUUUCAACAUGUGCGUGGGCAAGGCAUGCUUGAUUUACCAGUGCUGCUACAGAGAUGUGAAUUUCCGACACACCCAAAUUCUUGAAAGACAUCUAGAAAGAAAAGUUCUCUGAAAAAUAAGAAUGCAUACCAGUCUGGUGUUUGAAUUAGCUCUAAGCCUCUUGAAUCUGGUCCAAGUCCAAGCGCCAUUUCUGCUUUAGGAACCUUCCUCUCUCCUCUUCUCUUCUUGAAAUCCUUUGUGCAAGCCUUUCACUCGGACAGUAUUGCUUUCGUAGGGUGAAAGUUCAAGUCUGAGAAGUGACUCUGUAACUGUGACAGUUUUAUAAUUUCAUUUCUGUAUAUCUGUGAUUUUCAUAUAAAGUAUUCUUAACUUACAAGUAACUAUAUGUGUUUUUUAAACUGCCAGCCCUACAUAGUACCUCUAGGAGCUGUAAAUCAGGCUGUACUGCAACUUUAAUGAUGCUGCUGUGCUGGAAUGGUAUUUUUCAUUGUAUAAUUGUCCUCCACUUACACCAGUGCUGUCCUCUUAUUUUCAGUCAAUAUGAGUACUUGUAAAAGUUCAGAACUGUCAAUUUGGUAUAUAAAAGCAGAGCUAAAAUCACUAGUUUUGCCUAUGUUGUCCUGUAUACUCUGGCCUUGGCUUAUUCAUCCUGGUGGAGCAGAAUUCCAGUUGAGUGUUACACUUGCCAUAGUAUUUUCCAGAUGAAAAAAACAAACAGCCCUCCUCCACCUCUGGAAAGAGACACAAGUUCAGUUUGGUUAAGGAUAAUCUUACAUAAGGGAAUGUAAAAAUGAAGUACCUCUUUGGAACAUUAGCCCUGAGUUUUGUGUUUUAGUCUUGGGCUUUUUCCUCUUGACUUCAAUCAGGUUGUUUUUCUAU